Molecule: ribosomal RNA, 484 nt
Filed under: uncultured bacterium
Lineage: Bacteria
Description: bacterial SSU rRNA
Rfam family: Bacterial small subunit ribosomal RNA
Source: RNAcentral
GACGAACGCUGGCGGCGUGCCUAAUACAUGCAAGUAGAACGCUGAAGACUUUAGCUUGCUAAAGUUGGAAGAGUUGCGAACGGGUGAGUAACGCGUAGGUAACCUGCCUACUAGCGGGGGAUAACUAUUGGAAACGAUAGCUAAUACCGCAUAACAGCAUUUAACCCAUGUUAGAUGCUUGAAAGGAGCAAUUGCUUCACUAGUAGAUGGACCUGCGUUGUAUUAGCUAGUUGGUGAGGUAACGGCUCACCAAGGCGACGAUACAUAGCCGACCUGAGAGGGUGAUCGGCCACACUGGGACUGAGACACGGCCCAGACUCCUACGGGAGGCAGCAGUAGGGAAUCUUCGGCAAUGGGGGCAACCCUGACCGAGCAACGCCGCGUGAGUGAAGAAGGUUUUCGGAUCGUAAAGCUCUGUUGUAAGAGAAGAACGUGUGUGAGAGUGGAAAGUUCACACAGUGACGGUAACUUACCAGAAAGGGAC